This 129-nucleotide small RNA is filed under the name Salmonella enterica subsp. enterica serovar Typhimurium. RNAcentral's name for it is "isrA". It matches the Rfam family "isrA Hfq binding RNA". RNAcentral also lists the same sequence under 1 other name. The record is from RNAcentral. Lineage: Bacteria; Pseudomonadati; Pseudomonadota; Gammaproteobacteria; Enterobacterales; Enterobacteriaceae.
AUCUUCACGGUGACGCCGCGCCCGGUCUUAAAUCCCGCUUCUUCCAGCCAGUCGCCCUUAAGAUGCAGGCUGGGGAUUUGUGAGUAAUAGGUGGUCAUGUGGGUUUUGCUGUUGAUGUGGCGGACGCUG